Molecule: ribosomal RNA, 301 nt
Filed under: uncultured bacterium
Lineage: Bacteria
Description: partial 16S ribosomal RNA
Rfam family: Bacterial small subunit ribosomal RNA
Source: RNAcentral
CAGCAGCCGCGGUAAUACGAAGGGUGCAAGCGUUACUCGGAAUUACUGGGCGUAAAGCGUGCGUAGGUGGUGGUUUAAGUCCGUUGUGAAAGCCCUGGGCUCAACCUGGGAAUUGCAGUGGAUACUGGGUCACUAGAGUGUGGUAGAGGAUAGUGGAAUUUCCGGUGUAGCAGUGAAAUGCGUAGAGAUCGGAAGGAACAUCUGUGGCGAAGGCGACUAUCUGGGCCAACACUGACACUGAGGCACGAAAGCGUGGGGAGCAAACAGGAUUAGAUACCCGUGUAGUCCAUGUCUCUUAUAC